Molecule: ribosomal RNA, 468 nt
Filed under: uncultured bacterium
Lineage: Bacteria
Description: partial 16S ribosomal RNA
Rfam family: Bacterial small subunit ribosomal RNA
Source: RNAcentral
GACGAACGCUGGCGGCGUGCUUAACACAUGCAAGUCGAACGGAAAGGCCCUGCUUUUGUGGGGUGCUCGAGUGGCGAACGGGUGAGUAACACGUGAGUAACCUGCCCUUGACUUUGGGAUAACUUCAGGAAACUGGGGCUAAUACCGGAUAGGAGCUCCUGCUGCAUGGUGGGGGUUGGAAAGUUUCGGCGGUUGGGGAUGGACUCGCGGCUUAUCAGCUUGUUGGUGGGGUAGUGGCUUACCAAGGCUUUGACGGGUAGCCGGCCUGAGAGGGUGACCGGCCCCCAUUGGACUGAGAUACGGCCCAGACUCCUACGGGAGGCAGCAGUGGGGAAUAUUGCACAAUGGGCGGAAGCCUGAUGCAGCAACGCCGCGUGCGGGAUGACGGCCUUCGGGUUGUAAACCGCUUUCGCCUGUGACGAAGCGUGAGUGACGGUAAUGGGUAAAGAAGCACCGGCUAACUACGUG